UACGUAGGGGGCAAGCGUUAAUCGGAAUUACUGGGCGUAAAGCGCGCGUAGGCGGUUUGAUAAGUGUGAUGUGAAAGCCCAGGGCUUAACCUUGGAAUUGCAUAAAAUACUGUCAGGCUAGAGUACGAGAGAGGGGGGUAGAAUUCCUAGUGUAGCGGUGAAAUGCGUAGAUAUUAGGAGGAAUACCAGUGGCGAAGGCGGCCCCCUGGCUCGACACUGACGCUGAGGCGCGAAAGCGUGGGGAGCAAACAGG
RNAcentral lists this unclassified non-coding RNA (253 nucleotides) under uncultured Oceanospirillales bacterium. RNAcentral's name for it is "contains 16S-23S intergenic spacer region". It matches the Rfam family "Bacterial small subunit ribosomal RNA", at positions 524 to 776 of the family's 1533-position model. The record is from RNAcentral. Lineage: Bacteria; Pseudomonadati; Pseudomonadota; Gammaproteobacteria; Oceanospirillales.